RNAcentral lists this ribosomal RNA (490 nucleotides) under uncultured bacterium. Its description in RNAcentral is "partial 16S ribosomal RNA". It matches the Rfam family "Bacterial small subunit ribosomal RNA", at positions 28 to 507 of the family's 1533-position model. The record is from RNAcentral.
GAUGAACGCUAGCUACAGGCUUAACACAUGCAAGUCGCGGGGCAGCAUGGGGGUUGCUUGCAAUCCCCGAUGGCGACCGGCGCACGGGUGAGUAACGCGUAUCCAACCUGCCCUUCACCACGGGAUAACCCGGCGAAAGUCGGAUUAAUACCGUAUGUUGUCCAUUGACGGCAUCCGAUUUGGACGAAAGGUUUGGCGGUGAAGGAUGGGGAUGCGUCCGAUUAGCUGGACGGCGGGGUGACGGCCCACCGUGGCGACGAUCGGUAGGGGUUCUGAGAGGAAGGUCCCCCACACUGGAACUGAGACACGGUCCAGACUCCUACGGGAGGCAGCAGUGAGGAAUAUUGGUCAAUGGGCGUAAGCCUGAACCAGCCAAGUAGCGUGCAGGAUGACGGCCCUAUGGGUUGUAAACUGCUUUUAUGCGGGGAUAAAGUGGCCCACGUGUGGGUUUUUGCAGGUACCGCAUGAAUAAGGACCGGCUAAUUCCGUG